Molecule: ribosomal RNA, 253 nt
Filed under: uncultured bacterium
Lineage: Bacteria
Description: partial 16S ribosomal RNA
Rfam family: Bacterial small subunit ribosomal RNA
Source: RNAcentral
UACGUAGGGGGCUAGCGUUGUCCGGAAUCAUUGGGCGUAAAGAGCGUGUAGGCGGCCCGAUAAGUCCGCUGUGAAAGUCCAGGGCUCAACCCUGGGAUGCCGGUGGAAACUGUCGGGCUAGAGUCCGGAAGAGGCGAGUGGAAUUCCUGGUGUAGCGGUGAAAUGCGCAGAUAUCAGGAGGAACACCAAUGGCGAAGGCAGCUCGCUGGGACGGUACUGACGCUGAGACGCGAAAGCGUGGGGAGCGAACAGG